RNAcentral lists this long non-coding RNA (503 nucleotides) under Centruroides sculpturatus (bark scorpion). RNAcentral describes it as "uncharacterized LOC111634225". Lineage: Eukaryota; Metazoa; Arthropoda; Arachnida; Scorpiones; Buthidae. The record is from RNAcentral.
AAUAUAUUUGUUUCUUCGCAAGGAAAGUCAUCAUGUAAUAUGCAUUCAAAACCUACUGCUCUGUGAGAUCCGGAAUUGAAUUAUCGCGGGCAAAUUUCUCAUGGGUGUUCUACAUAACAGAGAAAUUGUAUGAAUAAGACAAAUAUGAUCUCUCCAUGAUUUCUACAUUUUCGGAUUCAGCGAACAUUUAAUCGUCGAUCAACGCAAAAUGAUAUGGUUUUUUCUAUAUGCAUGGAUAUCACCACUUUAUCUACCCAUAUCGAAACUUUAUAACUUCUGUGCCUUUUGUGGUAAAUUUAUGGAAUUUAACAGGGGAGUUUAUUUACUACAGCAACUGUUUGCUUGAUUUUCUUACAGUACAUUCAACAGUAUUUUAUAUUGACAUUAUCGUACAUACUUCUUUCGCUACAAGGUGAGAACUUCAAGUGAUUGUACAAUAUUUCAGGCGUUUCCAGAGCUUCGUACAUAAUGUAAUUUCCUAUAGUAUGAUUAAAUUUGCCGGG